AGGACGAACGCUGGCGGCGUGCUUAACACAUGCAAGUGGAGCGACGAACCAGGCUUCGGCCUGGGGCAAAGCCGCGAACGGGUGAGUAACACGUGGGUAACCUGCCCCGAUGAUUGGGACAACCCGAGGAAACUCGGGCUAAUACCGAAUGUGCCCUCCGGCCAUAAGGCCGCUGGGGAAAGGAAGCUUCGGCCUCCGCAUCGGGAUGGGCCCGCGGCCCAUUAGCUUGUUGGUGAGGUAAAGGCUCACCAAGGCAACGAUGGGUAGCUGGUCUGAGAGGACGAUCAGCCACACUGGGACUGAGACACGGCCCAGACUCCUACGGGAGGCAGCAGUGGGGAAUCUUGCGCAAUGCGCGAAAGCGUGACGCAGCAACGCCGCGUGGGGGAAGAAGGCCUUCGGGUUGUAACCCCUUUCAGUUGGGACGAAGGUCCGCUCGUUAAUAGCGGGUUGGACUGACGGUACCUUCAGAAGAAGCCCCGGCUAACUACGCGCCAGCAGCCGCGGU
RNAcentral lists this ribosomal RNA (508 nucleotides) under uncultured bacterium. Its description in RNAcentral is "SSU rRNA". It matches the Rfam family "Bacterial small subunit ribosomal RNA", at positions 26 to 521 of the family's 1533-position model. The record is from RNAcentral.